Long non-coding RNA from Spinacia oleracea (spinach), 576 nucleotides. RefSeq lists it as uncharacterized. The record is from RefSeq and is a predicted model, not a curated record. Lineage: Eukaryota; Viridiplantae; Streptophyta; Magnoliopsida; Caryophyllales; Amaranthaceae. The transcript has 2 exons.
CCUUAAUGUGGUGAUAGUGCAGCCGUUUUCAUCUCGUUUUGCAUGAGAUUAAGAUUAUCACAUAUUCACGGGCAAGCUAAUCAUAAUUAUAUUCCCAAUCAUGUUUCAUACCCAUUUAGCCUUUUAUCAAUUUCACAUCAUCAUGUAUAUUCAUCUCACGUGGUAAUUGAUUAUGAAAUAUUUAAUCAGAUUUCAUGAGUAUUCGUCUUCAACCUUACCCGCAUGCUAGUCGAAGCAACCAGAUCGUUGUAAGCCUGUAUCCGAAUCUCAUUUUUACACGAUAUCUGAAAUAUCAUUAUUAUUUCGGAAAGUCAAUAUUAACUGGAGCAGAUUGAUCGUGAAAGAUCGCAAUUCAAGAUGAAGGAGCUCAAGUGUUAUCGUAUAGUCUUUUAUGACAGUUUAAUACUUUUCAGUUGUAAAUAGACCACCUAGUAAUCGAGUUGUAAUAGUUUAAGUUUUGUAAGCCUUAGCACUCGACAAUGUGAUCAAGUGUGGCGGUGAUGCCUCCGAUUUAGGUGUAAGCUUCCGCAAUAUUUAAAAGUAUGUAUUAUUUCUUAUUUAUUUAAAGUUAGUAAA